UAGGGAAUCUUCGGCAAUGGGGGCAACCCUGACCGAGCAACGCCGCGUGAGUGAAGAAGGUUUUCGGAUCGUAAAGCUCUGUUGUAAGUCAAGAACGGGUGUGAGAGUGGAAAGUUCACACUGUGACGGUAGCUUACCAGAAAGGGACGGCUAACUACGUGCCAGCAGCCGCGGUAAUACGUAGGUCCCGAGCGUUGUCCGGAUUUAUUGGGCGUAAAGCGAGCGCAGGCGGUUUGAUAAGUCUGAAGUUAAAGGCUGUGGCUCAACCAUAGUUCGCUUUGGAAACUGUCAAACUUGAGUGCAGAAGGGGAGAGUGGAAUUCCAUGUGUAGCGGUGAAAUGCGUAGAUAUAUGGAGGAACACCGGUGGCGAAAGCGGCUCUCUGGUCUGUAACUGACGCUGAGGCUCGAAAGCAUGGGUAGCGAACAGGAUUAGAUACCCUGGUAGUCCAUGCCGUAAACGAUGAGUGCUAAGUGUUGGGAGGCUUCCGCCUCUCAGUGCUGCAGCUAACGCAUUAAGCACUCCGCCUGGGGGAGUACGACCGCAAGGUUGAAAC
Molecule: ribosomal RNA, 555 nt
Filed under: uncultured bacterium
Lineage: Bacteria
Description: partial 16S ribosomal RNA
Rfam family: Bacterial small subunit ribosomal RNA
Source: RNAcentral